RNAcentral lists this ribosomal RNA (433 nucleotides) under Clostridium perfringens. RNAcentral's name for it is "bacterial SSU rRNA". It matches the Rfam family "Bacterial small subunit ribosomal RNA", at positions 1 to 430 of the family's 1533-position model. Lineage: Bacteria; Bacillati; Bacillota; Clostridia; Eubacteriales; Clostridiaceae. The record is from RNAcentral.
UUAAAUUGAGAGUUUGAUCCUGGCUCAGGAUGAACGCUGGCGGCGUGCUUAACACAUGCAAGUCGAGCGAUGAAGUUUCCUUCGGGAAACGGAUUAGCGGCGGACGGGUGAGUAACACGUGGGUAACCUGCCUCAUAGAGUGGAAUAGCCUUCCGAAAGGAAGAUUAAUACCACAUAACGUUGAAAGAUGGCAUCAUCAUUCAACCAAAGGAGCAAUCCGCUAUGAGAUGGACCCGCGGCGCAUUAGCUAGUUGGUGGGGUAACGGCCUACCAAGGCGACGAUGCGUAGCCGACCUGAGAGGGUGAUCGGCCACAUUGGGACUGAGACACGGCCCAGACUCCUACGGGAGGCAGCAGUGGGGAAUAUUGCACAAUGGGGGAAACCCUGAUGCAGCAACGCCGCGUGAGUGAUGAAGGUUUUCGGAUCGUAAAG